UAAACCCAACAAUUUGAGUCAAAAAGAAAAACAAAAAACACAUUCACAAGAUGAGAAUGAUACUGAGUGAGAGGGGUUCGCAUAUACAUACAUAUACACAUCAUGUGUUCUUUUCAAGGAGUUUAGUGGGGUGUCACUGUCCAUGCAUUUGUGAAAUCUCAUUAGAGUAGUGCAUUAGUCAAAUAAUUAAUGCAACUAUAAGCUGAUGCUUGAUUGAGGUGACACACUAACUAGAGGUCAAAUAUAUAUAUACUAAGAAAAGAACAAGGAGAAAACCAUUCUUGUGGAUAAACCCUAAUUAAUCUCCCUCCCUGUUUGGUAGGUUUGAGAGUGGUUAAUUAAGUGAUCACUAAACACCCC
RNAcentral lists this long non-coding RNA (360 nucleotides) under Ananas comosus (pineapple). RNAcentral describes it as "long non-coding RNA (ACOM_LNC030200)". The record is from RNAcentral. Lineage: Eukaryota; Viridiplantae; Streptophyta; Magnoliopsida; Poales; Bromeliaceae.